This 232-nucleotide unclassified non-coding RNA is filed under the name Hevea brasiliensis (rubber tree). The record is from RNAcentral. Lineage: Eukaryota; Viridiplantae; Streptophyta; Magnoliopsida; Malpighiales; Euphorbiaceae.
AGAUUUUCCAGAGUCACGCAUAUCUUAACGACAUAAUUUAAUAUCGAAACAUGUAUACCAUCUAAUUUGGUACAUGACACUGCGCAGUUAACAUCUUUCCAACGAUGUGCAUUUCACACAAGAGAUUCGCAACCCUGUACAGUUUCUAUUUGAAAGGCUUAUCAUCCACUUCGCAAACUAUCAACACAAGGUUCUUCUUCCUUCUUCAAAAUGCGGACUUCACAGAGGAUAU